Ochotona princeps (American pika) is the source of this 106-nucleotide small nuclear RNA. The record is from Ensembl. NCBI's taxonomy places the organism in Eukaryota, Metazoa, Chordata, Mammalia, Lagomorpha, Ochotonidae.
AUGGUAGUUACAGGUCACAUAUACUAAAAUUGGAACGAUACGGAGAAGAUUAGCAUAGCCGCUGCGCAAGGAUGACACGCAAAUUUGAGAAGCGUUCUAUAUUUUA